This 312-nucleotide ribosomal RNA is filed under the name uncultured bacterium. RNAcentral's name for it is "bacterial SSU rRNA". It matches the Rfam family "Bacterial small subunit ribosomal RNA", at positions 505 to 796 of the family's 1533-position model. The record is from RNAcentral.
GUGUCAGCAGCCGCGGUAAUACAGAGGGCGCGAGCGUUGUCCGGAAUCACUGGGCGUAAAGGGCGCGUAGGUGGCCACUAUAAGGCCGCGGUGAAAGUUCGGGGCUCAACCCUGAAUCUGCCGCGGCGACUGUAGGGCUUGGGCAUCGUAGAGGCAGAUGGAAUUCCGGGUGUAGCGGUGGAAUGCGUAGAGAUCCGGAAGAACACCGGUGGCGAAGGCGGUCUGCUGGGCGAUGGGAGCGCAAGCUCCUCUUAGCCGACACUGAGGCGCGACAGCGUGGGGAGCAAACAGGAUUAGAUACCCUAGUAGUCC